CCUUCUCCAGCCCCUACCCCCUGGCCCGGUUCCUUUUCGCUUUUCCGAGGCUGGUGCGGCGCCGAGGUGCGAGCCGAGCUUUGAAAACUCCCCCGUGGCGCCCGACUGAGGUCGGAGCAUGCUCAGUA
Molecule: long non-coding RNA, 128 nt
Filed under: Microtus ochrogaster (prairie vole)
Lineage: Eukaryota; Metazoa; Chordata; Mammalia; Rodentia; Cricetidae
Description: SMAD5 antisense RNA 1 conserved region 2 (ENSMOCG00000003708.1)
Rfam family: SMAD5 antisense RNA 1 conserved region 2
Source: RNAcentral